This 24-nucleotide small nuclear RNA is filed under the name Arabidopsis thaliana (thale cress). Its description in RNAcentral is "snRNA_04212". Lineage: Eukaryota; Viridiplantae; Streptophyta; Magnoliopsida; Brassicales; Brassicaceae. The record is from RNAcentral.
UUGAUGUGGGUGGUGGUAAUAGGG